Molecule: small RNA, 126 nt
Filed under: Marmota monax (woodchuck)
Lineage: Eukaryota; Metazoa; Chordata; Mammalia; Rodentia; Sciuridae
Source: RNAcentral
GCUGGGUGUGGUGGUGCACACCUGUAAUACAAGUAACUUGGGAGGCUGAUGCAAGAGGUUUGCAAGUUCAAGGCCUGGCUCAGAAUACUAGCAAGGCCCUGAACAAUUUUGUGAGAUCCUCUCUCA